Stylophora pistillata is the source of this 566-nucleotide long non-coding RNA. The record is from RefSeq and is a predicted model, not a curated record. Lineage: Eukaryota; Metazoa; Cnidaria; Anthozoa; Scleractinia; Pocilloporidae.
GACUUCCCGUAUGAAUCAAAUGAUCCACACAUGCAUUUCCUUCCUGUUUUCCAUUCACUUGCUGUUCUUGUACAUUUUCGCCCCUUGAUAUGACGUUCUUUUCGUCAUAAGGCUUCUCUGCCUCGGACGAAGAAAAAAACUCACCGACCCGGCAGACCCGCCAUUUUGAAAAUUGGCCUCAGCGGUCUUCAAAUAUUGGUAUAUGUGUUACGUAGUAGGUCAUAAAUUGUCGUAAGUCUUUAAAGCCUGACGUCAGUGUCCAUAUCUCCUAUUUUCUAAGGUGCUGAGAAGGAGAAUUUGUUAAACAAUCCAGACCUUCUAUAGUUGUUGAUCAUUAUAUAUUUUUCUUGUGACCCUAACAUGCGAUUCAUGGGUGAUAAUGUGAGGAAAAGUUAGAUGUAGAUGUUCGUCUGCAGACUGAUCAAAGUGAGAGGGAGGCGAAGCAGGGCUUUUUCAAUGCAGCUUAAUCUGUACACCCUAACAUCAGUACCAGAAAGGGGUCAGUUGAUUUUAAGGGUGCUGUCCCUGCUGAAGAGAGGUCACUGAUGAGGAAAGCUUCCACAAAG